RNAcentral lists this ribosomal RNA (468 nucleotides) under uncultured bacterium. RNAcentral describes it as "partial 16S ribosomal RNA". It matches the Rfam family "Bacterial small subunit ribosomal RNA", at positions 28 to 507 of the family's 1533-position model. The record is from RNAcentral.
GACGAACGCUGGCGGCGUGCUUAACACAUGCAAGUGGAACGGAAAGGCCCUGCUUUUGUGGGGUGCUCGAGUGGCGAACGGGUGAGUAACACGUGAGUAACCUGCCCUUGACUUUGGGAUAACUUCAGGAAACUGGGGCUAAUACCGGAUAGGAGCUCCUGCUGCAUGGUGGGGGUUGGAAAGUUUCGGCGGUUGGGGAUGGACUCGCGGCUUAUCAGCUUGUUGGUGGGGUAGUGGCUUACCAAGGCUUUGACGGGUAGCCGGCCUGAGAGGGUGACCGGCCACGUUGGGACUGAGAUACGGCCCAGACUCCUACGGGAGGCAGCAGUGGGGAAUAUUGCACAAUGGGCGGAAGCCAGAUGCAGCAACGCCGCGUGCGGGAUGACGGCCUUCGGGUUGUAAACCGCUUUCGCCUGUGACGAAGCGUGAGUGACGGUAAUGGGUAAAGAAGCACCGGCUAACUACGUG